GGGGGUGUGGUUUAGUGGUAUAAUUCCUCUUUAGCGUAGAGGCGGUCCGGCGUUCGAUUCGCCGCUCCUCCA
RNAcentral lists this transfer RNA (72 nucleotides) under Pyronema omphalodes CBS 100304. Its description in RNAcentral is "tRNA-Ala". It matches the Rfam family "tRNA". Rfam says of the family: Transfer RNA (tRNA) molecules are approximately 80 nucleotides in length. Their secondary structure includes four short double-helical elements and three loops (D, anti-codon, and T loops). Lineage: Eukaryota; Fungi; Ascomycota; Pezizomycetes; Pezizales; Pyronemataceae. The record is from RNAcentral.